Molecule: ribosomal RNA, 370 nt
Filed under: uncultured organism
Description: partial 16S ribosomal RNA
Rfam family: Bacterial small subunit ribosomal RNA
Source: RNAcentral
GUAGGUGGCAAGCGUUGUCCGGAAUUAUUGGGCGUAAAGCGCGCGCAGGCGGUUCCUUAAGUCUGAUGUGAAAGCCCCCGGCUCAACCGGGGAGGGUCAUUGGAAACUGGGGAACUUGAGUGCAGAAGGGGAGAGCGGAAUUCCACGUGUAGCGGUGAAAUGCGUAGAGAUGUGGAGGAACACCAGUGGCGAAGGCGGCUCUCUGGUCUGUAACUGACGCUGAGGCGCGAAAGCGUGGGGAGCGAACAGGAUUAGAUACCCUGGUAGUCCACGCCGUAAACGAUGAGUGCUAAGUGUUAGAGGGUUUCCGCCCUUUAGUGCUGCAGCAAACGCAUUAAGCACUCCGCCUGGGAGUACGGCCGCAAGGCUG